This is a long non-coding RNA of Panicum virgatum (switchgrass), 1224 nucleotides long. RefSeq lists it as uncharacterized. The transcript has 2 exons. The record is from RefSeq and is a predicted model, not a curated record. Lineage: Eukaryota; Viridiplantae; Streptophyta; Magnoliopsida; Poales; Poaceae.
CGCUGCAGCAAUCCGCCGCGCCAAACCUCCCGCACCCUCCCAGCUCCCCGCGCUUCCGCUCGUAAUCGCGCGCGAAAUCCUUUCCUGUCCCGUCCAAUCGCGCGCCAAAUCUUUCAUCCUCCGCCACUCUCAGCCUUUAAAUCACGGAGUCGACGCCAGCCAAAUCUCCGUCUCCCCUCCGUCUCAGCAAGAUGUCUGGCCAGCUCGCCGGCGGCAGCGGCCGCGGCUGCCAGGCAAAGGGUGGUGGCGGCGGCAAGGCAAAGAAUGGGCAGGCAAAGGGCGGCUGCAGCCGCCAGGCAAGCAGCGGCGGCGGCGGUCAGGCUACAGGCGAUUCCCCAACUCCGCCGUCGACAGUGCCACUGGAAUCACCUCCCCUGCCGCCUAGUAGUCCAUGGUUCUCUGGAUGUGGAGGUACCAGUGGCACCACGCAUGGAAAUCAACCAAAUCCAUGGUAAAUCCCAGUUGCUUUUGUGAUGGUUCUGCAUAGCUUCAUUCUGUGAUGCGCCUACAGAUUCUUCUCAGUGCUUGCGAAAAUGUCUGAGGAUGGUGACAACAUAUUAUCAGAUGAUGAGCAAUAUGGAACAAUCAACUGCUUCGAUGAGUUUGUCGCCGAGGAGGAAAUUAUAGAUGACUUGAUCGAUGAAGCACUGGUCAGCUUAAAGCUACAUAGUUCCCAUGCCACAUUUGAUCAUAACACAUGCAAGAUUUAAAUGCUACAUCCUGCUUAUAAACUGUGCUCGUAAAACUGUGCAUUGAGAGUUGGAGUUUCAUUAUAUUGAAAAGCUGACAUGACAGUCUAGAUACUUGUGUCCAUGACACCUUCCCUAAAACUGGCCUGAGGUGGAGUCGACGUGUAGGUACAGUGCGGGGUAAGACACAUCACGUGCCAACAAAAUUCAACGGAAAAAACGGGAGGAGGCCGCGCCGGUUUUGGACGUACCCGGACCUCGUGCGCGCCGGGUGGGUGAUGGUCAAACCGGCGCAGCAGCAGCGGCCGCCGCCGGCAGGAAUCUGCCGAUGGCGCUAUCCGAGGAGGAAAUUGCGGUGCCCGAUGGCAAGUUUUAUUUUCUCGGCAAGAAUCUAAUUUUCUCGGCAAGAAUCUCGCCGUCCGUCUUUUUCUUUUUUCAACGGGUGCCUAGACUUGCUUAUUGUCGGGCUUAUCUACUCGUUAAUGGAGAGGAUGCCGUCUUUUUCGACGGCUGCCUGCUGGACUUUUUCUUGUUA